AUUGAAUUCUUAUUAUUUUUUGUUAAUGUAAUGUUGGCAACUCUCACCUGCGCACAGGAUUUUCCUUGCAGAUGAUUGGUUUCUUGUAUUUUUGCUGUUCAAGUGAAAUUUUUGAAUGUAUUGGUUAGUCCACGUUAUAA
Molecule: long non-coding RNA, 140 nt
Organism: Nilaparvata lugens (brown planthopper)
Lineage: Eukaryota; Metazoa; Arthropoda; Insecta; Hemiptera; Delphacidae
Exons: 3
Source: RefSeq, a predicted model, not a curated record